Molecule: ribosomal RNA, 301 nt
Filed under: uncultured bacterium
Lineage: Bacteria
Description: partial 16S ribosomal RNA
Rfam family: Bacterial small subunit ribosomal RNA
Source: RNAcentral
CAGUAGCCACGGUAAUACGUAGGGUGCAAGCGUUAAUCGGAAUUACUGGGCGUAAAGCGUGCGCAGGCGGUUAUAUAAGUCGGAUGUGAAAUCCCCGGGCUCAACCUGGGAACUGCAUUUGAGACUGUAUGGCUAGAGUGUGUCAGAGGGGGGUAGAACUCCACGUGUAGCAGUGAAAUGCGUAGAUAUGUGGGGGAAUACCGAUGGCGAAGGCAGCCCCCUGGGAUAACACUGACGCUCCUGCACGAAAGCGUGGGGAGCAAACAGGAUUAGAUACCCGCGUAGUCCCUGUCUCUUAUAC